This is a non-coding RNA of Apaloderma vittatum (bar-tailed trogon), 73 nucleotides long. Lineage: Eukaryota; Metazoa; Chordata; Aves; Trogoniformes; Trogonidae. The record is from Rfam.
GGUCGGUUAGCUCAGUCAGUUGAGCAUGGCGCUAGCAAUGCCAAGGUCACGGGUUCGAUUCCCAUUCGGUUCC